UUUGGCACCUUUCCAUGACCAGGAUCUCUACAGGACUCUGCCUGAGAUAGUUUGAGAAAUUUUAUACAUUCCUCCAAAGAGGAAGAAAUUAAAAUUGAGAGAGGUUAACAAUUGUGCCCAAGGCUACAUAGCUACUAAGCAAACCAGAUCUAUGCUCAAAGCCCAUGCAGGACUGUAACCACGGUGCAAGACCAAUCCUCCUGCUUGGAGAACUCAUCCAACUCCACAUCUAUAUCUUCAGGUUGGACUCUCUUCUUCAACCCAUGUACAUGUCCAGCAUUCCCUCAUCAUUGACAAAUACUUUCCUUUGACUUUACUGAUUCUCUGACUACCACUUUUUCAAUGAAGAAAGACUUCCCUGGCCAGGUGCCAUCCCUCGGUGCUUCCACGGUUACUGACGCGUGUAUUCUCCACAGCAAUUACAACUGGAUCAAAAUC
This 438-nucleotide long non-coding RNA is filed under the name Pongo abelii (Sumatran orangutan). Its description in RNAcentral is "lincRNA". The record is from RNAcentral. Lineage: Eukaryota; Metazoa; Chordata; Mammalia; Primates; Hominidae.